This 483-nucleotide ribosomal RNA is filed under the name uncultured bacterium. RNAcentral's name for it is "SSU rRNA". It matches the Rfam family "Bacterial small subunit ribosomal RNA", at positions 26 to 521 of the family's 1533-position model. The record is from RNAcentral.
AGAAUGAACGUUGGCGGCGUGGAUUAGGCAUGCAAGUCGAACGAAUCCCAUCUGGGUAACUGGAUGGGGGAAGUGGCGAAAGGGGCAGUAAUGCAUGGGUAACUUGCCCUGGAGUUCGGGAUAGCCUUUCUAACGAAAGGGUAAUACCGAAUGCCGUACUCGGGGGGCAUCCCCUGGGUACGAAAGUUCCGACGCUCCGGGAGGGUCCAUGUGGUAUUAGCUAGUUGGUGGGGUAACGGCCCACCAAGGCCAAGAUGCCUAGCAGGUGUGAGAGCACGACCUGCGUCACUGGCACUGGGACACUGGCCAGACUCCUACGGGAGGCUGCAGUCGAGGAUCUUCGGCAAUGGGCGAAAGCCUGACCGAGCGACGCCGCGUGUGCGAUGAAGGCCUUCGGGUUGUAAACCCCUUUCAGUAGGACGAAGCGCAAGUGACGGUACCUACAGAAGAAGCACCGGCCAACUACGUGCCAGCAGCCGCGGU